Molecule: ribosomal RNA, 361 nt
Filed under: uncultured Methanosaeta sp.
Lineage: Archaea; Methanobacteriati; Methanobacteriota; Methanomicrobia; Methanotrichales; Methanotrichaceae
Description: bacterial SSU rRNA
Rfam family: Archaeal small subunit ribosomal RNA
Source: RNAcentral
AGCUGAGAGGUGGUGCAUGGCCGUCGUCAGUUCGUACUGUGAAGCAUCCUGUUAAGUCAGGCAACGAGCGAGACCCACGUCCACAGUUGCCAGCAUACCCUCCGGGGUGAUGGGUACACUGUGGAGACCGCCGCUGCUAAAGCGGAGGAAGGAGUGGGCAACGGUAGGUCAGUAUGCCCCGAAUCUCCCGGGCUACACGCGGGCUACAAUGGUUGGUACAAUGGGCAUCUACCCCGAAAGGGGAAGGAAAUCUCUUAAAGCCAAUCGUAGUUCGGAUUGAGGGCUGCAACUCGCCCUCAUGAAGCUGGAAUCUGUAGUAAUCGCGUUUCAACAGAACGCGGUGAAUACGUCCCUGCUCCUU